GUCUUUUUGAUAAUAAUUUAAAGUCUGGCCUGCCCAAUGAUAAUUUAAAUGGCCGCGGUAUUUUGACCCUGCAAAGGUAGCAUAAUCAUUAGUUUUUUAAAUGAAAGCUUGUAUGAAAGGUUGAACGAGAAAAUUACUGUCUCAAUUUUAUUUAAUAAAAAUUUUAUUUUUAAGUUAAAAAGCUUAAAUAAUUUUAAAAGACGAGAAGACCCUAUAGAGUUUUAUAUUUUUUAUAAUAAAUUUUUAAAUUAUUAAUUAAAUUGUUAAAAAUAUUUUAUUGGGGUGAUAAAUAAAUUUAUAAAACUUUAUUUAUUUUAAAACAUUUAUUUAUAUAAUUAUGAUCCAUUUUUUUUUGAUUAUAAGAUUAAAUUACCUUAGGGAUAACAGCGUAAUUUUUUUUGAGAGUUCAUAUCGAAAAAAAAGAUUGCGACCUCGAUGUUGGAUUAAAGUUUAUAAUUGGUGUAGAAGCUAAUAAAUUAAGUCUGUUCGACUUUUAAAACUUUACAUGAUCUGAGUUUAAACCGGUGUAAGCCAGGUUGGUUUCUAUCUUUAAAUAAUUAAGAUAUUUUAGUACGAAAGGACCAAAUAUUUAUAAAAUUUAUUUAAUUAUGAAUAUUAUUGUUAUUUUGGCAGAUUAGUGCAUUAAAUUUAGAAUUUAAUUAUGUAAUUUAUUACAAAUAAUACUUGUUUUAUAUAGAUUUAAUUUUAAUAUUAAUUAGAAGUUUAUUAUUAAUUAUUUGUGUUUUAAUU
Molecule: ribosomal RNA, 750 nt
Filed under: Ochthebius subinteger
Lineage: Eukaryota; Metazoa; Arthropoda; Insecta; Coleoptera; Hydraenidae
Description: partial large subunit ribosomal RNA
Rfam family: Bacterial large subunit ribosomal RNA (bases 380-538)
Source: RNAcentral